This 489-nucleotide ribosomal RNA is filed under the name uncultured Sphingobacterium sp. Its description in RNAcentral is "bacterial SSU rRNA". It matches the Rfam family "Bacterial small subunit ribosomal RNA", at positions 29 to 507 of the family's 1533-position model. The record is from RNAcentral. Lineage: Bacteria; Pseudomonadati; Bacteroidota; Sphingobacteriia; Sphingobacteriales; Sphingobacteriaceae.
AUGAACGCUAGCGGCAGGCCUAAUACAUGCAAGUCGGACGGGAUCUAAGAUUAAGCUUGCUUAAUCUUAGUGAGAGUGGCGCACGGGUGCGUAACGCGUGAGCAACCUACCCAUAUCAGGGGGAUAGCCCGGUGAAAAUCGGAUUAACACCGCAUGACACAGCGACUCGGCAUCGAGAUGUUGUUAAAUAUUUAUAGGAUAUGGAUGGGCUCGCGUGACAUUAGCUAGUUGGUAAGGUAACGGCUUACCAAGGCAACGAUGUCUAGGGGCUCUGAGAGGAGAAUCCCCCACACUGGUACUGAGACACGGACCAGACUCCUACGGGAGGCAGCAGUAAGGAAUAUUGGUCAAUGGAGGGAACUCUGAACCAGCCAUGCCGCGUGCAGGAUGACUGCCCUAUGGGUUGUAAACUGCUUUUGUCCAGGAAUAAACCCCUCUACGUGUAGAGGUUUGAAUGUACUGGAAGAAUAAGGAUCGGCUAACUCCGUG